AGAUGUGAGGGCGAUCUGGCUGCGACAUCUGUCACCCCAUUGAUCGCCAGGGUUGAUUCAGCUGAUCUGGCUGGCUAGGCGGGUGUCCCCUUCCUCCCUCACCGCUCCAUGUGCGUCCCUCCCGAAGCUGCGCGCUCGGUGGAAGAGGACGACCAUCCCAGAUAGAAGGAGUGUACCGUUCUUCGGUCAAGGGUAUACGAUAGCUGCGCCCCCCUGCUAGAACCUCCAAACAAGCUCAAGGUCCAUUCUGGAGUUCAAGGGCUUGGAUUGCCUGGGAUCAGCUUCAAUUAAGUACAACAACUAACCUCUGUACAGGGGU
Molecule: small nuclear RNA, 319 nt
Filed under: Pogona vitticeps (central bearded dragon)
Lineage: Eukaryota; Metazoa; Chordata; Lepidosauria; Squamata; Agamidae
Description: 7SK RNA (ENSPVIG00000022559.1)
Rfam family: 7SK RNA
About the family: 7SK was discovered as an abundant small nuclear RNA in the mid-70s but a possible function has only recently been suggested. Two independent studies have found that 7SK RNA binds the CDK9/cyclin T complex (known as elongation factor P-TEFb).
Source: Rfam by way of RNAcentral